AUGAACGCUGGCGGCGUGCCUAAUACAUGCAAGUCGAGCGCACAGACGAGGAGCUUGCUCCUCUGACGUUAGCGGCGGACGGGUGAGUAACACGUGGAUAACCUACCUAUAAGACUGGGAUAACUUCGGGAAACCGGAGCUAAUACCGGAUAAUAUAUUGAACCGCAUGGUUCAAUAGUGAAAGACGGUUUUGCUGUCACUUAUAGAUGGAUCCGCGCCGCAUUAGCUAGUUGGUAAGGUAACGGCUUACCAAGGCAACGAUGCGUAGCCGACCUGAGAGGGUGAUCGGCCACACUGGAACUGAGACACGGUCCAGACUCCGACGGGAGGCAGCAGUAGGGAAUCUUCCGCAAUGGGCGAAAGCCUGACGGAGCAACGCCGCGUGAGUGAUGAAGGUCUUCGGAUCGUAAAACUCUGUUAUUAGGGAAGAACAAAUGUGUAAGUAACUAUGCACGUCUUGACGGUACCGAAGCAGAAAGCCACGGCUAACUACGU
RNAcentral lists this ribosomal RNA (495 nucleotides) under uncultured bacterium. RNAcentral's name for it is "partial 16S ribosomal RNA". It matches the Rfam family "Bacterial small subunit ribosomal RNA", at positions 29 to 506 of the family's 1533-position model. The record is from RNAcentral.